GUGGCGUUCGCCGAGGAGUUCGCCGCCGGGGCGCCCGGCCUCGGUCUGGAGGGCGAGGACCCGUGGCGCGGGCCCGUGUCGCUGCGC
Molecule: transfer RNA, 87 nt
Filed under: Streptomyces fructofermentans
Lineage: Bacteria; Bacillati; Actinomycetota; Actinomycetes; Kitasatosporales; Streptomycetaceae
Description: tRNA-Gly
Source: RNAcentral